UUUCCGUAGGUGAACCUGCGGAAGGAUCAUUAUCGUACAAAAUGUGAGGGGCAUGCGAGGGCUGUCGCUGACCCAAAAGUCGUGCACGCCCGAGUGUGUCCUCUUGCAUAAUAAUCCAUCUCACCCUUUGUGCAUCACCGCGUGGGCACCCUUCGGGAUCAUCUCGGAGGGGGGCUCGCGUUUUCACACAAUCCCCCCUUUUAAAAGUGUAGAAUGACCACAUUCAUGCAAUCAAUACAACUUUCAACAACGGAUCUCUUGGCUCUCGCACGAUGAAGAACGCAGC
Molecule: unclassified non-coding RNA, 286 nt
Filed under: plant metagenome
Description: partial contains small subunit ribosomal RNA, internal transcribed spacer 1, and 5.8S ribosomal RNA
Rfam family: 5.8S ribosomal RNA (bases 239-286)
Source: RNAcentral